GGGGGCGUCAGGGUUCGACAGGACCGAAGCGACUCAUCGUUGCGAGCCGUGGAUUCUCGUUGGCCACGUAAAAAACGAGUAAAAAAUAACUGCAAACAAUAACUUUGCAUUCGCAGCCUAAGUGCCGCGCAUGAGCCAGUUCUGAGCCAGUAAGAACUGAUCCUCGUGUAGCCAAAUCUGGAUCGCUAGGGCGAGCUUCUGUUCGUAGUAGACCCGGCUAAACCCAAUCGGACUAAGGGUGCGCUAGGCGGUCUCGGCAGAGGCGCAUCACUACAAUCCAAACUGAGAAGACGCUCGUGGUAAUGCUGGGAAGGCGGUUUUGGAAGGGAGUUCAAUUCUCCCCGCCUCCACCA
RNAcentral lists this transfer-messenger RNA (353 nucleotides) under Armatimonadetes bacterium Cent15-Ar3. It matches the Rfam family "transfer-messenger RNA". From Rfam's summary of the family: Bacterial tmRNA, also known as 10Sa RNA or SsrA, is named for its dual tRNA and mRNA-like properties. The record is from RNAcentral. Lineage: Bacteria; Bacillati; Armatimonadota.